AUAAACCAUAAUCCACUUCACUCAGAGAUUAACAAAAUCCAAGGGAAACUCAACUAAACAUCAUCCACAACACAAAUCCAUUAUUCUUAUACAACUUAAACUUAUCAUUCCAUACACAUGAGCGGUCCUUUAAACUUUUACAACACAUAAGUAUCAAUAGAUCCUUAACAUUACAUCAGAAGUAAAGUAUACUAUACAACAAAAACCUAUCAUCCAACAAAGAUUAGCUCAAAA
Molecule: long non-coding RNA, 234 nt
Filed under: Musa acuminata (dwarf banana)
Lineage: Eukaryota; Viridiplantae; Streptophyta; Magnoliopsida; Zingiberales; Musaceae
Description: long non-coding RNA (MACU_LNC009756)
Source: RNAcentral